GGCCUCCAUCUUCAUACAUAAAGACGUGGCAUUCCAGGAGCAGACAAAAUUAGUAGAUGCCCAAGGGAGAUAUGUCCUACUAGUAGGUCUUUUUAAUAAUGCCCAAUAUACCUUGGUAUCUGCCUACUUCCCAAAUACUGGGACGGAAAAAUACCUCAGACGUCUUCUGCAAGACAUAGAUAAAUAUAGACAAGGUAGACUGGUGCUCUGUGGUGACUUCAACUUCUUUACCUCCCCAGAAGUCGACACGACUGCCCUACCCCAGGGGACAAGACGGGCGACCGUAAACUCCACG
Molecule: non-coding RNA, 295 nt
Organism: Pelobates cultripes (western spadefoot toad)
Lineage: Eukaryota; Metazoa; Chordata; Amphibia; Anura; Pelobatidae
Source: the annotation of a GenBank genome assembly